CAUGUAAAGUACAACGGAGUGCAAAAAAAAUAGUGUCAAUCGAAUGGAAAUUAAAUCUAAAAUAUAAGCAAGUCCUAAAACUAGGAGAGCAUGCAAGAUUAGCCUAUAUCUAAGUUUAGGGGUACAAUCGUCAAUUCACAAUUAUGGUUAAUAUUGAAUUAAAUUUCUAUUUUAUAAAAAUCCUAGUUAAAAUCAAUUAAAAUCUAAACUAGAUCUAAUAUUAUUUCUAAGAAUAUUUCUAAUAUUUCUAAUUAAAAGUUUGAACUUAAUAUUGUUUAAUUAACUUCUAAAAUAUUCUAAAUCCUAAAAUUAUUUCUAAUUGUUCUAAUAUUCUAAUUAACUAAUUCUAAAAUCAAUUUUUAAUAUUUCCACAAUUAAUCUCUAAUCCUAAAAUUAUUGAAUUCUAGUAUUUCUAAAAUUAAUUAACAUGUAAUUAACACACAAUUAACAUGAAAUGGGCCCUGGUGACUUGUUAGGGCAAAGCCCAACGGUGGGGGGCGUAUGUGGAUUAGUGGAGGCUCCAAGAGGGAAAUGGACGGGCCUAGAGGCCCACAGUCCACGUGUGAUACUCUGGAGAGGGGUAACGAUACCAAGUAUCCUCACACACAUGAGGUUCAGCACACCGACGGCGGAAUCGACGACGAACGGCGGUGGAAACGGCGGAGCAAGGACGACACAGCGAAUCCCAAACCUCAGUGCUGAAACAACGGCGCCGUCUCUGGACGCGCAAAGCUUGACCUUCUCCAAAUCGUGGCGCACCAAGCAAAGCAACACCAAUUCGCAACUCAAAACCAUCGUCGAACCUACCUUCUUGCUUCACCAGUUUAAAUAAUAAAAUCUAAAUGUGGAGGUUGAAUCGGAAAACUCACAAAACAGGUAUCGCAUAUUUCUGCUCUGGUUUUCGCUCGAUCCUUCUUCUUGAGCUAUUCUGAGAGGGCUUUGCGUCGUUGUUGUUCGAUGCGUUCUUUUGGUAUUGAAUCAAGAUGAAGCACGUCACGUCGAGCUGCCGAAUCGUGAUGAUUGACGAAUCAAGAUGGUGAUGACGAGUUUGAUUUCGUGGAGGAUCGCUUCUACUUUUUCGGUUUCGAUCUUCUCUCCUCCCGUCGAGGUUCUGUCUGAAUUUUGUGAAGUUGCUUAGAUUUUCGCAGGCUAUGGAGGAUGGCGAAUUGAAGACGUUGAUGAGAGAGUGGCAGGUUGUGGCUUUACCCCGGUUUCGGUUUCUGUUAUGAAAAGUUUAUUGAAGGAUGUUGAAGGUGGCUGAAGAAUUGAGGUUGAAGGAAUGGAAGAGAGGAAGAAUAUGGAAGAGAGCUCCUGAGAGAGGGAAGAAUUCGUGAAUUAUAUAGGGCUGAGUUUGAUUAGAAGAAGUUAGGAAGUUUUUUAGAUUUGUUAUUGGAUUGUGAAAUUAUGCAGGCUUCGGUAGCGGCUUUGAGUUGCUGUUGUGGAUUGAUGGUGUUAGAAGCAUGGUUCUGCAGGUGUAUAGCAGCUGGGAGUACAUUUGCAUUGGCUUGCAUUUGGAUUUGGUGUGUAGCUGCUGGCUCAGCGUGCGUUUCAAGUGCUUGUUGUUGUAGCUUUAGCAGCUUCUCACACGCACUUAAGUUGCAGCUUCUGUUUGCAUUGUACUGAUGUAUUGCUUUUGCAUCAUCUUUUCUUCUCAUUGCCAUUUUCAAAUUGCUUUUAUUUUAAUGUAUAUUAAUACUAGAAAAGUAGAAUUUGGAUUCAGGUCAUGAAUGGAUUAGAGUUGGAUUAAUUAAAUGGAUUUGUAUUAUGGAUUUGAAAUAUUGAAUUGGAUAUUGGUUCAUGAAUUUGGAUUUGGA
This is a long non-coding RNA of Lathyrus oleraceus (garden pea), 1814 nucleotides long. RefSeq lists it as uncharacterized. The transcript is spliced from 2 exons. NCBI's taxonomy places the organism in Eukaryota, Viridiplantae, Streptophyta, Magnoliopsida, Fabales, Fabaceae. The record is from RefSeq and is a predicted model, not a curated record.